This 75-nucleotide small RNA is filed under the name Xanthomonas campestris pv. campestris. RNAcentral's name for it is "sX9 sRNA". It matches the Rfam family "Xanthomonas sRNA sX9". The record is from RNAcentral. Lineage: Bacteria; Pseudomonadati; Pseudomonadota; Gammaproteobacteria; Lysobacterales; Lysobacteraceae.
AUGUACCCACGUACACUCCGGUUCCUCCGCGCCGUCCGCACUCACCUGACGACUGCUCGCUACGUUUUGUUGGCC